RNAcentral lists this transfer RNA (73 nucleotides) under Amoebidium parasiticum. RNAcentral describes it as "tRNA-Gln". It matches the Rfam family "tRNA". Rfam says of the family: Transfer RNA (tRNA) molecules are approximately 80 nucleotides in length. Their secondary structure includes four short double-helical elements and three loops (D, anti-codon, and T loops). The record is from RNAcentral. Lineage: Eukaryota; Ichthyosporea; Ichthyophonida; Amoebidiaceae.
UGAGAAUUAGCCAAGUUGGUAAGGCAUUACUUUUUGGUAGUAAUAAACGAAGGUUCGAGUCCUUCAUUCUCAU